This 550-nucleotide ribosomal RNA is filed under the name Stylaster roseus. RNAcentral's name for it is "partial large subunit ribosomal RNA". It matches the Rfam family "Bacterial large subunit ribosomal RNA", at positions 1835 to 2576 of the family's 2925-position model. Lineage: Eukaryota; Metazoa; Cnidaria; Hydrozoa; Anthoathecata; Stylasteridae. The record is from RNAcentral.
UCUAGAAAAAAUCUAAAGUGCAACCUGCCCAAUGAUUUUUAAAUAAAAAGAAAUAAACUUCUUAAAAAAAAUUAAAAGGACGCAGUAAACUGACUGUGAUAAUGUAGCAUAAUCACUCGCCAUUUAAUUGAUGGAUGGAAUGAAAGGUUCAACGAAUUCCUCACUGUCUCAAGAAAAGAAUUUUUAAAAUUAAAAUAAUAGUUAAGAUGCUAUUUAAAAUUGUAAGACGAAAAGACCCUAUAGAGCUUAACUAUAACCUUCUUAAAUAGUAAGAAGAUUGGUAGUUUAGUUGGGGCGACUAUCUUUUAAAAACAACAAAGACGAGCAAAAUAAAUAGUGCUAUUUAUUGUAAAAAUAAUAAAUUUAACAAUUACUAAAGUAGGCUAUAAUGACCCGUUACAAAUUAGUGAAAAUCGUAACGAUUAACAAAUAAAAGCUACCUUAGGGAUAACAGGAUAAUUUUGUUUUAGAGACCCUAUCGAAAACAAAGUUUGUCACCUCUAUGUUGAAUUGAGAUAACCUAGUAAAGCAGAAUUUACUGAAGGUAAGU